GAUGAACGCUGGCGGCGUGCCUAAUACAUGCAAGUCGAGCGAACAGACGAGGAGCUUGCUCCUCUGACGUUAGCGGCGGACGGGUGAGUAACACGUGGAUAACCUACCUAUAAGACUGGGAUAACUUCGGGAAACCGGAGCUAAUACCGGAUAAUAUAUUGAACCUCAUGGUUCAAUAGUGAAAGACGGUUUUGCUGUCACUUAUAGAUGGAUCCGCGCCGCAUUAGCUAGUUGGUAAGGUAACGGCUUACCAAGGCAACGAUGCGUAGCCGACCUGAGAGGGUGAUCGGCGACACUGGAACUGAGACACGGUCCAGACUCCUACGGAAGGCAGCAGUAGGGAAUCUUCCGCAAUGGGCGAAAGCCUGACGGAGCAACGCCGCGUGAGUGAUGAAGGUCUUCGGAUCGUAAAACUCUGUUAUUAGGGAAAAACAAAUGUGUAAGUAACUAUGCACGUCUUGACGGUACCUAAUCAGAAAGCCACGGCUAACUACGUG
This 497-nucleotide ribosomal RNA is filed under the name uncultured bacterium. RNAcentral describes it as "partial 16S ribosomal RNA". It matches the Rfam family "Bacterial small subunit ribosomal RNA", at positions 28 to 507 of the family's 1533-position model. The record is from RNAcentral.